RNAcentral lists this non-coding RNA (20 nucleotides) under Arabidopsis thaliana (thale cress). The record is from RNAcentral. Lineage: Eukaryota; Viridiplantae; Streptophyta; Magnoliopsida; Brassicales; Brassicaceae.
UGUGUUUUCACCAAAGCCCA